RNAcentral lists this ribosomal RNA (253 nucleotides) under uncultured bacterium. RNAcentral's name for it is "partial 16S ribosomal RNA". It matches the Rfam family "Bacterial small subunit ribosomal RNA", at positions 524 to 776 of the family's 1533-position model. The record is from RNAcentral.
UACAGAGGGUGCUAGCGUUGUUCGGAAUCAUUGGGCGUAAAGCGCACGUAGGCGGCCCCAUAAGUCGGAUGUGAAAUCCCUCGGCUCAACCGAGGAAGUGCAUCCGAAACUGCGGGGCUCGAGUAUGGAAGAGGGUCGCAGAAUUCCCGGUGUAGAGGUGAAAUUCGUAGAUAUCGGGAGGAAUACCAGUGGCGAAGGCGGCGACCUGGGCCAAUACUGACGCUGAGGUGCGAAAGCGUGGGGAGCAAACAGG